UACGGAGGGUGCAAGCGUUGUUCUGAAUUACUGGGCGUAAAGCGCGUGUAGGCGGUUUCCUCAGUCUGGUGUGAAAUCCCGGGGCUCACCCCCGGAAGUGCAUCGGAUACUGGGAGACUAGAGUACCGGAGAGGAGGGUGGAAUUCAUGGUGUAGCGGUGAAAUGCGCAGAUAUCAGGAAGAACACCCGUGGCUAAGGCGGCUCUCUAGUACGGUACUGACGCUGAGACGCGAAAGCGUGGGGAGCGAACAGG
RNAcentral lists this ribosomal RNA (253 nucleotides) under uncultured bacterium. RNAcentral's name for it is "partial 16S ribosomal RNA". It matches the Rfam family "Bacterial small subunit ribosomal RNA", at positions 524 to 776 of the family's 1533-position model. The record is from RNAcentral.